This 253-nucleotide ribosomal RNA is filed under the name uncultured bacterium. RNAcentral's name for it is "partial 16S ribosomal RNA". It matches the Rfam family "Bacterial small subunit ribosomal RNA", at positions 524 to 776 of the family's 1533-position model. The record is from RNAcentral.
UACGUAGGGUGCGAGCGUUGUCCGGAUUUACUGGGCGUAAAGGGCGCGUAGGCGGCCUUGUCAGUCAGGCGUGAAAGCCCCGGGCUCAACCUGGGAACGGCGCUUGGGACGGCGAGGCUGGAGUUCGGGAGAGGAGAGUGGAAUUCCCAGUGUAGAGGUGAAAUUCGUAGAUAUUGGGAAGAACACCGGUGGCGAAGGCGGCUCACUGGCUCGUAACUGACGCUCAUGCACGACAGCGUGGGGAUCAAACAGG